This 253-nucleotide ribosomal RNA is filed under the name uncultured bacterium. RNAcentral describes it as "partial 16S ribosomal RNA". It matches the Rfam family "Bacterial small subunit ribosomal RNA", at positions 524 to 776 of the family's 1533-position model. The record is from RNAcentral.
UACGUAGGUGGCAAGCGUUGUUCGGAAUUACUGGGCGUAAAGGGCGCGUAGGCGGCUCGCUAAGUCGAACGUGAAAUCCCCGAGCUCAACUCGGGAACUGCGUCCGAUACUGGUGGGCUUGAAUCCGGGAGAGGGAUGCGGAAUUCCAGGUGUAGCGGUGAAAUGCGUAGAUAUCUGGAGGAACACCGGUGGCGAAGGCGGCAUCCUGGACCGGCAUUGACGCUGAGACGCGAAAGCGUGGGGAGCGAACAGG